GGUUGUCCCGGUUUAAGCGUGUAGGCUGGUUUUCCAGGCAAAUCCGGAAAAUCAAGGCUGAGGCGUGAUGACGAGGCACUACGGUGCUGAAGCAACAAAUGCCCUGCUUCCAGGAAAAGCCUCUAAGCAUCAGGUAACAUCAAAUCGUACCCCAAACCGACACAGGUGGUCAGGUAGAGAAUACCAAGGCGCUUGAGAGAACUCGGGUGAAGGAACUAGGCAAAAUGGUGCCGUAACUUCGGGAGAAGGCACGCUGAUAUGUAGGUGAAGUCCCUCGCGGAUGGAGCUGAAAUCAGUCGAAGAUACCAGCUGGCUGCAACUGUUUAUUAAAAACACAGCACUGUGCAAACACGAAAGUGGACGUAUACGGUGUGACGCCUGCCCGGUGCCGGAAGGUUAAUUGAUGGGGUCAGCGCAAGCGAAGCUCUUGAUCGAAGCCCCGGUAAACGGCGGCCGUAACUAUAACGGUCCUAAGGUAGCGAAAUUCCUUGUCGGGUAAGUUCCGACCUGCACGAAUGGCGUAAUGAUGGCCAGGCUGUCUCCACCCGAGACUCAGUGAAAUUGAACUCGCUGUGAAGAUGCAGUGUACCCGCGGCAAGACGGAAAGACCCCGUGAACCUUUACUAUAGCUUGACACUGAACAUUGAGCCUUGAUGUGUAGGAUAGGUGGGAGGCUUUGAAGUGUGGACGCCAGUCUGCAUGGAGCCGACCUUGAAAUACCACCCUUUAAUGUUUGAUGUUCUAACGUGGACCCGUGAUCCGGGUUGCGGACAGUGUCUGGUGGGUAGUUUGACUGGGGCGGUCUCCUCCUAAAGAGUAACGGAGGAGCACGAAGGUUGGCUAAUCCUGGUCGGACAUCAGGAGGUUAGUGCAAUGGCAUAAGCCAGCUUGACUGCGAGCGUGACGGCGCGAGCAGGUGCGAAAGCAGGUCAUAGUGAUCCGGUGGUUCUGAAUGGAAGGGCCAUCGCUCAACGGAUAAAAGGUACUCCGGGGAUAACAGGCUGAUACCGCCCAAGAGUUCAUAUCGACGGCGGUGUUUGGCACCUCGAUGUCGGCUCAUCACAUCCUGGGGCUGAAGUAGGUCCCAAGGGUAUGGCUGUUCGCCAUUUAAAGUGGUACGCGAGCUGGGUUUAGAACGUCGUGAGACAGUUCGGUCCCUAUCUGCCGUGGGCGCUGGAGAACUGAGGGGGGCUGCUCCUAGUACGAGAGGACCGGAGUGGACGCAUCACUGGUGUUCGGGUUGUCAUGCCAAUGGCACUGCCCGGUAGCUAAAUGCGGAAGAGAUAAGUGCUGAAAGCAUCUAAGCACGAAACUUGCCCCGAGAUGAGUUCUCCCUGACCCUUUAAGGGUCCUGAAGGAACGUUGAAGACGACGACGUUGAUAGGCCGGGUGUGUAAGCGCAGCGAUGCGUUGAGCUAACCGGUACUAAUGAACCGUGAGGCUUAACCUUACAACGCCGAAGGUGUUU
RNAcentral lists this ribosomal RNA (1468 nucleotides) under Escherichia coli. RNAcentral describes it as "partial 23S ribosomal RNA". It matches the Rfam family "Bacterial large subunit ribosomal RNA", at positions 1500 to 2925 of the family's 2925-position model. Lineage: Bacteria; Pseudomonadati; Pseudomonadota; Gammaproteobacteria; Enterobacterales; Enterobacteriaceae. The record is from RNAcentral.